Molecule: long non-coding RNA, 7093 nt
Organism: Crotalus tigris (Tiger rattlesnake)
Lineage: Eukaryota; Metazoa; Chordata; Lepidosauria; Squamata; Viperidae
Exons: 3
Source: RefSeq, a predicted model, not a curated record
UGCAACAGAAGAUAUCCAAGCCAGGCUCAUGGAGUUCUGAGUUGCCAGCGUGGGUCCCCUGGCUUCAUUUUAAGGGAGGCAGCAGAGAAAUAGCAUUCAGUCCUAGAAAUCUCCUUUUGAAGGAUAAAAAUACAGUUUUGCUUUUCCUAAUGCUGGUUAGUUUGGAGUUGCAAUAAUGGCAAAAGAUGAGGAAGGUCAUGGACAACUCUGCAGAUUAAAGGAACUCAGAAAACAACAACCAAAGUAGCUGGGAGCUAUUCCCUGUUGCAUUUCAAAGCAGGGCCAUUGUGUCCUAGGGAGUUUCUAGAUGAAGAAAGCCUAACUCUAUUAAAUUUUUCUCUGAGCAGCUAUGGAAUACUGUUUUUUGCCCCUUCAUCUCGCUCAAUCCCAACCAAAAUUCCAUAGCUGAAGGGGCUGAAUAUAAAACUGCCUGAAGCCAAUAUUGAGGGCAGCGUUGCUAAAGAAAUAUCCUUUAGACAAAAGAAUAAAUAGAAAGCACUCUCAAAUUUAUCUCUAUUGUCUGCAAAAUAUCAUUGCAAAGCUCUUCAGUGUCUUCUCAUUAUCUCUCAUAAUGAGUAUCAUUGGAGGAAAAGCAUUUAGUAUUUGAUUAGUACAUUUCAGAAGUUAAGCAGGGGUGCCCCUGAUCACUACUUGGAUGGGGACCAUGUAGGAAUUCUAUAGUUGUUGACUAACAGAAGACAACAGCAAAUGGUCUCCUUAACAGGGCCCUGGGGGCUGUUACAGGUGUUGGUUGGUCAUGAACUGAGUUCAAUUCAAGAGCUCUUUAUAUUUUGACAAUAGCCCUUUCACCUUGAAAGCAUCUUUUCUCCUGACCAGAAGGUCUGGAGAGAAUCUAACCCCAAAGCCCAGAAUUAGCAAUCAAAUAAUAAAGGUCUAAAAAUAUUGCUAAUUCUGGUUUGUGUGUGUGUGUGUGUGUGCGCGUGUGUGUUUUAAAAAAAUCAGGAAUUAUAGGAGUAGCUGACCUGCAAUUUUCCCUCGGUAUUGUGACUCACGAAUUAAGCAGAAUUAGACUUGAUCAUAACUUAGAUAAAAGGCUUCCUGUAGGCUACAGAGGGAACUUGAAAAAAAGACAAUGCCAAACUGCUUCCAAAAAAACUACAAGGUCAACAAGUGUUAAAAUGGACUCAGAGGAGGCUUUAGACUUAGUUAAAUGAGGCUACCUUUCCUCCUCUCGGAUGCUGCAGGGUUUCCAGCUAUUGUGCUGCUCCACAUCCUACAACAAAGGACCAAAAGCAGGGAUUCCCUUGAGAUGGGACAUUUAUUCCCAGGUGUCUCCAAGUAUUUUUAUAUCACAAGAAUGCUACGAUUACUGAUCCUGCUAAAUUAGAUUGCCUUCAAUGAAAGCAUGGAGACAUUGUGAUUUUCUCCUUCAAGGCAACUGGAGUGUUGAAUGGAGCAGGUCAGCAAAUUCACUUUAUAUUGCAAUGCGCUACUAUUGGUGGCUAUCACUGUUCCAGGAUAUUAUCAGGUAGAAAGUCAGGACCUCUCAGCAGCCUGAUAGGACAAGUGCUGAUGUGGAAUGAGAAAAGAAGAUGUGACCUGGGAAACAGAUUUGAAGGAAACAUCAGAUGUUACUUUUCUAGCCCAAAGUACCCCCUCCCCCCUGCUGCUUCACUACUAGCAAAAAAGACAAGUUCCCAAUUUUGAGGUUUGGGGUCCUAUUUAUUUCCUCUGCCAAGAAGGAAGUUCUGACCAUACAUUCUUGUCAGUUAUGCUGGAUGGUCUCCCUGCUUGCCCAUUGCCUUUUCCCCCACACCAAGGUAAGUUGACAGAGGGAAGAUAGUAUUGGGAAGGAUUUGUUAUCUUACCUGCUUACCCUUUUGAAAAAUCAGCACAACACCCUGCACGCGUGCACACACACACACACAAGCACGAUGGGCCAAGCCACCUUGAAUAGGCCUGAAAUGGUUAUGUAUAUACAAACAACAAAAAAGGGAAACCCAGCCUGUACAGCUACCUGCAAGCAGUUGUAACAAACUCCAAUGUGCACAGGACCUGUUUUCUAAAAAGAAGAACCGAGGGCUGAUUCAACUUCCUUGGGUAGCUUUUAUCCUGCUUUCUGAGCAAAGAGCAGCAUUUACUUCUACCUAGCAAAGGCCAAUGGCAAAUCUUAAGUAACGCCUAGAAAUUUGCACGGGUUAAAUCCUUUGGAAAUGCUUGAGAAUAGCAUGGGCCCGGUAGUUUUAAGGAAGGGAUCAACUAAUGCUGGCCCUCUAUGGACAAGGCAAAGGUGAGAAACGGGUGCAACCCACUAAGUAACCACGAUUGGCCACCAUCUCUACUUUUAAACUGUCACAUCGCCAGCCCAGCCACGCCGGGAUAGGCCGAAGAGUCUACUGAAUCGACGAAGGCGGCAACAGGGAGCCGAAAGGGAAGCUCUCUGCCUCGCCACCUGCCCGGGCCGCACACAAAGAGCUGGCAGAUCAGAACGGCAGCUUCUCCGGCCGCUUGGCUUCUGUUUGCUGAAGGUUACGGACGAGAGUAGAAUCACGAGGGUGGAGGACUGAGUCAUUGUGGAUAAAUAGGGAAGCUGCAUCCAUCCGGGAAAGAAAGGGGGGGAGAGACGGGGGUUUGAGCGAGCAGAGACUUCUAGCUCUCUCUCUUGAAGAAUCGGCUCGUUUCUCCCCUCCCCUUCCUUCCCCGUCCAGUCUCGUCGCCUUCUCAAUUCAGGAUGCUGGGCCCGAGCCACAAGCCUUUACGGCCUUGCCUAAAGAAGCGGUGCUCAGAUGCAGACUUACCUCUCUGCUCCUGACAUCUCUGCGGGGCUGGUUCGAAGGAAGGCGGAGGAAACCGUGCUGGGUGGCGUGCGCCAGAUCAAAGGCGGCCAAACCCUGCUAAAACUGCGAUUGUUAGAGAAAAGAAAGCCUGGAUGGGGAAGGCAAACACCCCACCCCUCGGAUAACCGUCGAAGGAAACCUGACUCUUGAGGCACAUUUUCUUUAUGCCCAGGUCCUGAGGGGAGAUGCCAUUUUUAGGCCUAUGGAGACUUUGCCCACUGUGAUACUGCAAGUGUUUUUGCUGUGCUUCAGAAACCUGCAAAACCUGUUUAACUGGAGAAUUCAAAGCACACAAUCAGAAAUAAUUAUUCUUUCAUCAUGCCUCCAGCAUGCUGAAAGGACCUUUUCCUUUGCCAACCAAUUCAGUUGGCACAUUUUCUUCUGCAGCACAGUUUGGUUUUGAUGCAGGGGUAUCCAAAGUUGGCAACUUGAAGACUUGUGGACUUCCACUCCCAGAAUUCCCCAGCCAACCAUAUUGGCUGGGGAAUUCUGGGAGUUGAUAUCAACAAGUCAUCUAGUCGCCAAGGUUUCAUGCUUUAUUCUAAUAAUCUGGAGCAAAGAACCUGCUCUCAGUCACAGUAUUGGCCAAGAUCCUGUCUCCGAGAUAGGCAGUUUGUGAGAUUUCAAGAGUUUCUAAUGUGCUCCUGAAAACCAUUAUUUUUCCUUUCUGGACCUGGGAACUAGCAAGAGUUCCCAAAGACUUGGGAACAGAGGAAUUCCCAGAGAUGGAAGCUUAGCUAAGUAGGGUUUUCAGACCCAUCCUCACCCUCCCUGCCCUUCCAUCGGUCAUGAUCUCCUCCAUCUUUUCUGAUCUUGUGCCAGCAAACUGUUCCCAGUGUGUCAAGAUUUCUUGGAUUCAUGUGUCCCAAAUAGAAAUUAUGCAUUAGACCCAAUUUCCUUCCCAUGUUUGACAGAAAUAAUGAUUAAGAAGACUUGUUUUUCUUUGGCAGGAUAGUUUUGAGGUCUGGUUACUGUCCCAGUUCCAGGGUCGGUUCAAACUGGGAAAUAGCCUACUACGUCUGCAAUAUGGAGAAACUCGGAUCACAUUGUGUUUGGAAAAGUCCAGGUUAAAAAUCACACAUGGUUAAUGAAGAGUAAGACUGGAUUCUGAUCCUACAGAACAUGUUACCUGUCAGUAUGCAUGAUCUGAUUCAAUAUCGGGCAACUUCACCUAUUUGGAUGGAGUUUCAAGAGCAGCCUUAGCUAAGUCUAGACUGCUCCUGAGAUCAGCUUGCAAAGGAAAGCAAAAAAAUUGGCUGCCAUCUUCUCCAAACAGCUGCUUUCCAGGUGUUGUGUACUACAGCUUCCAUCAGACGUUUCAUUAUGGGAGAUAUGACUUGAUUCCAGAGAAACUGGCUUGAUUUCUUGUCUUGUGAACAUCACUAAGUCCCAUCCUCCACAGUGACAUCAAUGUAUCCAUAGUAACUACUGACGACUGUUCUUCAAAGUGGAAGGACGGAAGGAGAUCAAACAAUAUGUGGCUUAACAAUGAAUAAGCUUGGCAAUACAUACGCACCAUGAAUUGGUGCCCUAGAGGAAACUGGAAACUUUUUGUUAUUUGCUGGAGAAAGGCCUUUGGAGAGAAGCUGGAUAGGUGAGGGCCACGCAUGCAGGAAGAUAGAGCACACUUUUGGUGUCACCUAAGUCACCUAAGAAGUAAAAGAUACCUUUGAUGAGCUAUUGAGGUACCUUUAAGUAAAAGUAAAGUCCCAUUUGAACUGUGCCCAACUCCUAGUGACUACAAAUUCAUGUCAAUGACCCUCAGAUGUGAUCAAUCUCUACGAUGUGUCUCAAUUCAUGGUAGACGUUAUGAGUUGCAAUAGAGAAUGCCAUUGAUCCAGACGAAGGUGAGUGCGUUAUGUACUGAAGAUUUCCCCUUCCUGACAGGGUGUUAAAGAAGGAAAGGUGGGAUUAUUCUAAACAAAUACUACUUGCCAAUCUUGACCUAGAGUUUCCCAUCUGACACCAUUGCCUACUUUGUCUUGAAAAACCCUCCCAAACUACAACUGUAGAGUGGCUUUCCUGAUUAGGCUGCAAAUUCAGAAGAUGAACAUAAUGCACAAGAUAAAAAAAAAAAUUCCCUUACGACAGGAUAGUAUCAUUAAUUCAGCUGCCAACUUUGGAAUGUUCAAAAGGUUGUCAGAUGAGCAAUUAGGCACAUCUAAUUCGUAGGACAUAAUCCCACGUGAUUUUCUUAAUUCCUAGGUCGGAUUGCAGUAAUUUGGAACUCUUGACUCUAGGAUAUUUUACCAUACAUGGUGAAAAUAGGAGCAGCAGUAGAUUUUUGCACUUCUCCUUUCAAGUAAGGCAAAAAUAGGAUUAUUUGGAUGAAGAUGUUUAGUGUGAUGAAAUUUAGGAUUUGAAUGCCCAGAAACCACAACAGAGUGGUGCAUUUCUUAAAGCAUAUCUUGAUAUGUUGAGCAUUUUAAAUGAGAUUUCUUUCCCUGAUUUCAAGAAGCCACUGGAAUUAAAUACUGAGCAUUCUGGAGGGGAAAAAAUAGCUGUAAAUCUUUAAGACGUUUAGGAAGAACUAAGCAAGUCAUUUUCAGCCUUCAAGAUGCUGAUUAUAAAAGAGUUAAUUUUUAUAAAUAAAUCUUAAUUAUUUUCUGCAGUUCAACUACUGUGGCUUUAUAACAAUGAAUAGUAUAUUUUGGAAUAUUGCAAAAACAUUAUGGAUAUCUCACUAUUUAGGGAUUCCCCAUGUGAUGGAAUCACUUAAGUGAGAUUCAGAAAGGUGGGAGGAUUAAUGCUUCCAGAUAGUACAUGCCUGCCUACCCACAUGCCAGUCUACUUACUUAAAGGGAUCUACACUAAAACAGUUUACUCACCGCAAUACCUGCUGAAAUUAUCCAUAAACCAAAAUGAAGAAUAUAGUGUGGAGCUUUGUCACUGGAAAGAAGCAGUGAUGAGUAAACUCUGCUUUAUUCAAAAUGACUUUCAGUUGAGCCUUUGUGGAGUCCUUGGUGCUCUCUGAGCUUGGUUGUCUUUGUGCAGACAUUUCAUUACCCAGCUAGAUAACAUCUUCAGUGCACAGUUCAGCCGAGCCCUUGGAAACUGUUUUCCAAGUCACUUCCUAGUUUGCUUUGGUACAAGGAUAUAAUGCCUAGUAUUAUAUUUAUUGUUCUCCCAGAAAUGUAGUUUGGGUUCACCCACCCAUAACAGGCCUUGCUCUCUUCAGAUUAAGAAAAAAAGAGAACAGCUUUUCUCAAUGCAGGAUGGAUAAAGUAUGUGCCAAUGUUAAAAGUAGUCAAGCAAAGUGACCUAAGUGAAGAAUGUCACCUCAAAAAAAAGCUGCGGACUGCCACAAAUGCAUACCAAAACAGAUCAUUAAUAAUUUGCGUGCUAUCUCCAAGAAGCACUUCCAGUAGCACCCAGUUUCUGAAUCUGCAGAAUAAAUUUGACUAGGCUCCUUGAACAUUUUCUUGAGCUUCUUAUUGGGAUAAUAAGCGCUUAUCCAACACUUUUGGAAAUAUUCCUCAAAGUACUGUUUUAACUGUACAUGUUUUCCUCAGGAUGGAGUUGACUUUAUUCUCAUAUGUGAGUCUGAACAAGAUAUGUCAGGAGAGCAAGGGAUGGGAGUAUUCUUUUGCCUCAGUACCCUUGCCUCAAGGGAGAAACAAUGUUUUCUUGGGUGGAGAGCUCCUUUUCUAUUAAGAACUGCAUUCCAGCAGUAGGUGGGUCAAAGGCAGUAAUGGGCAGGAUCACCUCCUUCAUUCUUUCUCCAAUCCGUUUUUUUUUUUUUUCUUUUGCCACCUUUUCCAUCAUUGGUUUCUUUCUUUCCCUCUGUGCCCACUCUUCCUCCCCCACCUCUUCCUCAUGUCCUGUCCAAUAAUUUACCAUAGAAGGGAGAGCUUGUUUUGCCAUAAAGAUGAUUGUUAUCUCAGAGAGAGAGAGAGACCUUGUGAAAUUAGGCCAGUUUGCAUGCUGUGAUCACAGGUAGUUCACCUUUAAAUGACUGGCUCCUCCUGUAUGCUCUUCUUAGGUGAAAUAGCAUCAUUUUUUCAUGUGUAAACUUCACUGAAAUGAACGGGAGUUACAUAGUGCCAUAUCAGUUUACACUGUAAGUAAAUGCAUUCUAUUUUUUCAUUUUUAUCAUCCUGGUUCUAGCAUGUUAUUUCCUACUUCCUAUUAAUAUGCCACCUCAUCUCCUUCUCUCAAAUAUAAUUCUCGUACAAAACAUUGCCGGUCUGGUACAGGUAGCUCUUGACUUACAACAGUCCAUUUAGUGACUGUUUGAAAAUACAUCACUGAAAAAAGUGACGUAUGACUGUUUUUCACACUUAUGACCAUUGCAG